GACGAACGCUGGCGGCGUGCUUAACACAUGCAAGUCGAACGUGAUUUUUGUGGAAAUUCUUUCGGGAAUGGAAAUGAAAUGAAAGUGGCGAACGGGUGAGUAACACGUGAGCAACCUACCUUACACAGGGGGAUAGCCGUUGGAAACGACGAUUAAUACCGCAUGAGACCACAGAAUCGCAUGAUAUAGGGGUCAAAGAUUUAUCGGUGUAAGAAGGGCUCGCGUCUGAUUAGCUAGUUGGAAGGGUAAAGGCCUACCAAGGCGACGAUCAGUAGCCGGUCUGAGAGGAUGAACGGCCACAUUGGAACUGAGACACGGUCCAAACUCCUACGGGAGGCAGCAGUGGGGAAUAUUGCACAAUGGGGGGAACCCUGAUGCAGCGACGCCGCGUGAGCGAAGAAGGUUUUCGAAUCGUAAAGCUCUGUCCUAUGAGAAGAUAAUGACGGUAUCAUAGGAAG
RNAcentral lists this ribosomal RNA (458 nucleotides) under Parvimonas micra. Its description in RNAcentral is "bacterial SSU rRNA". It matches the Rfam family "Bacterial small subunit ribosomal RNA", at positions 28 to 487 of the family's 1533-position model. Lineage: Bacteria; Bacillati; Bacillota; Tissierellia; Tissierellales; Peptoniphilaceae. The record is from RNAcentral.